This 496-nucleotide ribosomal RNA is filed under the name uncultured bacterium. RNAcentral describes it as "partial 16S ribosomal RNA". It matches the Rfam family "Bacterial small subunit ribosomal RNA", at positions 28 to 506 of the family's 1533-position model. The record is from RNAcentral.
GAUGAACGCUGGCGGCGUGCCUAAUACAUGCAAGUCGAGCGAACGGACGAGAAGCUUGCUUCUCCGAUGUUAGCGGCGGACGGGUGAGUAACACGUGGAUAACCUACCUAUAAGACUGGGAUAACUUCGGGAAACCGGAGCUAAUACCGGAUAAUAUUUUGAACCGCAUGGUUCAAAAGUGAAAGACGGUCUUGCUGUCACUUAUAGAUGGAUCCGCGCUGCAUUAGCUAGUUGGUAAGGUAACGGCUUACCAAGGCAACGAUGCAUAGCCGACCUGAGAGGGUGAUCGGCCACACUGGAACUGAGACACGGUCCAGACUCCUACGGGAGGCAGCAGUAGGGAAUCUUCCGCAAUGGGCGAAAGCCUGACGGAGCAACGCCGCGUGAGUGAUGAAGGUCUUCGGAUCGUAAAACUCUGUUAUUAGGGAAGAACAUAUGUGUAAGUAACUGUGCACAUCUUGACGGUACCUAAUCAGAAAGCCACGGCUAACUACGU